This 468-nucleotide ribosomal RNA is filed under the name uncultured bacterium. RNAcentral's name for it is "partial 16S ribosomal RNA". It matches the Rfam family "Bacterial small subunit ribosomal RNA", at positions 28 to 507 of the family's 1533-position model. The record is from RNAcentral.
GACGAACGCUGGCGGCGUGCUUAACACAUGCAAGUCGAACGGAAAGGCCCUGCUUUUGUGGGGUGCUCGAGUGGCGAACGGGUGAGUAGCACGCGAGUAUACUGCCCUUGACUUUGGGAUAACUUCAGGAAACUGGGGCUAAUACCGGAUAGGAGCUCCUGCUGCAUGGGGGGGGUUGGAAAGUUUCGGCCGUUGGGGAUGGACUCGCGGCUUAUCAGCUUGUUGGUGGGGUAGUGGCUUACCAAGGCUUUGACGGGUAGCCGGCCUGAGAGGGUGACCGGCCACAUUGGGCCUGCGAUACGGCCCAGACGCCUACGGGAGGCAGCGGGGGGGAAUAUUGCACAAUGGGCGGAAGCCUGAUGCAGCAACGCCGCGUGCGGGAUGACGGCCUUCGGGUUGUAAACCGCUUUCGCCUGUGACGAAGCGGGAGUGACGGUAAUGGGUAAAGAAGCACCGGCUAACUACGUG